This 468-nucleotide ribosomal RNA is filed under the name uncultured bacterium. RNAcentral's name for it is "partial 16S ribosomal RNA". It matches the Rfam family "Bacterial small subunit ribosomal RNA", at positions 28 to 507 of the family's 1533-position model. The record is from RNAcentral.
GACGAACGCUGGCGGCGUGCUUAACACAUGCAAGUCGAACGGUGAUGCUCCAGCUUGCUGGAGUGGAUCAGUGGCGAACGGGUGAGUAACACGUGAGCAACCUGCCCCAGACUCUGGAAUAAGCGCUGGAAACGGCGUCUAAUACUGGAUACGAAACUGGCCCGCAUGGGCAUGGUUUGGAAAGUUCUUCGGUUUGGGAUGGGCUCGCGGCCUAUCAGCUUGUUGGUGAGGUAAUGGCUCACCAAGGCGACGACGGGUAGCCGGCCUGAGAGGGCGACCGGCCACACUGGGACUGAGACACGGCCCAGACUCCUACGGGAGGCAGCAGUGGGGAAUAUUGCACAAUGGGCGAAAGCCUGAUGCAGCGACGCCGCGUGAGGGAUGACGGCCUUCGGGUUGUAAACCUCUUUCAGCAGGGAAGAAGCGAAAGUGACGGUACCUGCAGAAGAAGCACCGGCUAACUACGUG